AUGUGUUCCAAAACAGCAACUCUUACUAGAUGGCAUGAUGAAGAGCGUACAAAAGAUGGUUUGAGCAGGCAUCCAGCUGAUUCUGCUCAAUGGAAGUAUUUUGAUGAGUUGCAUGAGGACUUUGCUAAGGACAGCCGCCAUUUUAGGCUUGGAUAUGGAGCAGAUGGUUUUAAUCCUUUUAGAUCCAAUAAUGUGAAUUAUAGUGUUUGGCCUGUUAUCUUGAUUCCUUAUAACUUCCCUCCUUGGAUGUGCAUGAAGCAAUCAAAUUUUUUUCUCACAUUGUUGAUUCCUGGUAAACAUGCUCCUGGUAGUGAUAUGGAUGUUUAUCUAGAGCCGUUAAUUGAUGAUAUGGUAGAUAUGUUUCUUCAUGGUGUCAAAACGUACGAUGUUUCAAAAGAAGAGUUCUUUAAUUUGAAGGCUACCAUAUUAUGGACCAUUCAUGAUUUCCCGGGCCUAGGGUAUACAGCUGGUUGUACCAUCUCUGGUGAAUGA
Molecule: ribosomal RNA, 492 nt
Filed under: Triticum aestivum (bread wheat)
Lineage: Eukaryota; Viridiplantae; Streptophyta; Magnoliopsida; Poales; Poaceae
Description: partial small subunit ribosomal RNA
Source: RNAcentral